Cygnus olor (mute swan) is the source of this 194-nucleotide long non-coding RNA. RefSeq lists it as uncharacterized. Lineage: Eukaryota; Metazoa; Chordata; Aves; Anseriformes; Anatidae. The record is from RefSeq and is a predicted model, not a curated record. The transcript is spliced from 3 exons.
UAUUUAUCCAUAUACAAAAAAAGAACAACUGUAUUUUCCUUGAGGGAAGAAAGAGUUUAGCUUGGACUGAUUCUGUGAAGAAAGCAAGUUACAAAGGAGAACUUGAUGAAAAGAAGCAUUCUUGCAGCUCCAGCACGUAAAACAUGCCUAAGUUAAUGGUAACUUCGGUGAUAUGGAGCUUAAAAGAAAAAAAU